This is a long non-coding RNA of Lycium ferocissimum, 1549 nucleotides long. RefSeq lists it as uncharacterized. Lineage: Eukaryota; Viridiplantae; Streptophyta; Magnoliopsida; Solanales; Solanaceae. The transcript is spliced from 2 exons. The record is from RefSeq and is a predicted model, not a curated record.
UUAAUGCAGAGAGUAUGCAAUUAAAAUAUUCUUUACGCAGAACUUGAAAUACAGAAGUAGACAACUAAAUGAGAAUAACAGAGUCUAAGAAAGCAUGGCAACAAUUUCCAAUGGUGGAAUCAAAGCGCCAUUUGUACGUCACACCGUAGAAUGAAGAAAAUAGAGGGACAGUUCUUUUCGAUUUGGGGCUUAUGCCACGGUUGGAUUGUAGAGCGAAGCGUUUUUCUUUUUAAUUUAAUUUAAUGCAGGGUUUUAAGUUUUUUGAAGUAACUAUAAAUCCAAAAAGAAAAGGAGAUAAUAGAUAAAUAUAAUUUAUGGUCAUAUAGAGCAUCACGUCACCGAAUCCAUGUCCUAUAAUUAUAUAUAUAUAUAAAGAUUUGUAUCUUAGAUCAUCUCUUUUAGGUUAGGCUGAAUACAUAGGAGGCCCUUAAACUUGCAAUAAUUUUCCUCCCAGACACUUGAACUAACUCUUGUUCCUAUUGAGCCCCUAAACUAUUAAAAAAGUGUACCAAUUUAACACAUUUUGCUAUAUAUCAUAGUGUGUGUAAUACGCUCUCCCGUAAGAGAGUAAAACUGGAAAGUCUGAUUUUUUAUUUUUUAGUUUACUUUUUAGUUUCAACUUCUAUCUUCUUCAGCUAUCAACUGCCGCCAUGCCCGCCACCAUCAUAUCGUUGAAAAUUAACCCUCAAAAGACCAGAUCAUUUAUACCUUUUAGCUCCCUAUGCCAAUCAUCUCCUUGUACCUGAGAAUGGAAUCCAUCCUCUGUAACUUCAACUGUUGUUUGAACUUGUUGAUGAAAUUAUCGGCUUUCACGUCAACUUCAUUGUCUCCAUCGCUUGUCUUAGCAGUCCUCUCCUUUGUAGUCGCCGGCCGACGAGCUUCCACAAUGGCUGCUUCCUCAAAAUGCACAAAUGGCGAUUUCAUACGAGCCGAUUUCUUCAUCUUCGUCGACAACUUCGCCGGAACUUCACCGGCCGACAAGUUCGUAUCUGAUCAGGUCCUGCUCACGUGGCGUUCCCUUGACUAAUAGUACACUUCAUCCAAGCUCUUUAGCUCACCUUCUUCUUCUUCAUUUCUUUGUGGAUUUGCUGAAAUCAAAAUGGGUCUCCAUAUCUUCGAUUUUCUGUUCAUGGGUGUGUUGGAAAAUGUACUGGGUCGAUUUAUCUGGAAGUCUUUCUUCAUGGGUUUACUCGAAGUGGAAUUCUCUUUCUAUAUUUCUGUGUUUUUGUUCAUGGGUAUGCUGAAAAUAUACUGGGUUUGUGAUUCUCCAAGUGGAUUUGCAACGUUCUUGUCCAUUUUCCUCCUUUUCUAUACAAUUUUAAAUCAAAUUUCACAAUCUGCCCGGGAAAUGGGUCAUGUUGAAGGCAGAGUUUUCCAUCAGAAAAACACAACAAAGACAGGGUGGGGGUGGGGAAGAAGACGAAGGGAGGGGGAGAAAUAUUAUUUUCCUUUUUCUUUUGCUGCUAAUGUGUCAUUUUAUCAUUAGUCACAUUAUUAUGUAAGUGGAAAGUGAAUUUCACGCAUCUAGCAUUUUAACUUGCUGCAAAAA